AUCUACAGCCAUGCCACCCUGAACACGCCGAUCUUGUCUGAUCUUGGAAGCUAAGCAGGGUUGGGCCUGGUUAGUACUUGGAUGGGAGACCACCUAGGAAGACCAGGUGCUGUAGGCG
RNAcentral lists this ribosomal RNA (118 nucleotides) under Pteropus alecto (black flying fox). The record is from RNAcentral. Lineage: Eukaryota; Metazoa; Chordata; Mammalia; Chiroptera; Pteropodidae.